This 369-nucleotide ribosomal RNA is filed under the name uncultured bacterium. Its description in RNAcentral is "bacterial SSU rRNA". It matches the Rfam family "Bacterial small subunit ribosomal RNA", at positions 525 to 896 of the family's 1533-position model. The record is from RNAcentral.
ACGGAGGAUGCGAGCGUUAUCCGGAUUUAUUGGGUUUAAAGGGUGCGUAGGCGGUGAAAUAAGUCAGUGGUGAAAAGCUGCAGCUCAACUGUAGUCCUGCCAUUGAAACUGUUUUACUUGAGUAACCAUGAGGUAGGCGGAAUGUGUAGUGUAGCGGUGAAAUGCUUAGAUAUUACACAGAACACCGAUUGCGUAGGCAGCUUACUAGAGGUUCACUGACGCUGAUGCACGAAAGCGUGGGGAUCAAACAGGAUUAGAUACCCUGGUAGUCCACGCCGUAAACGAUGAUAACUCGCUGUUGGCGAUACACAGUCAGCGGCUUAGCGAAAGCGUUAAGUUAUCCACCUGGGGAGUACGCUCGCAAGAGUG